CCCCAGUCUUCAUACCCUCGGCAUUUGCUCUCUAGGGCACAGUAUUUAUCUUUGGUGAGUAACAGAACAAAGGAACCUGCCUAUGCCCAGAUUGGUCUAGGUGCCCACCAGUCUACCAUGUUUGUCAACAACUGAAUCCUGCCAGGGCUCCUGCCAUUUCUCCUGCCCAAUCUCCUCAUCAGGCUGCCUGCAACUACUUUGGAGCACAGGAUUCCAGGUUUCCAGACCUAGCAGAAGCCUAGCAGUCUGAAGCAGAUAAAAAAUUAGGAUGGACAAUAUGUUGGAAAGACAUUUACAUAAACAGUGAGCAGUAGUGAACAGGAAAAACCAAUCUGAUGAUCCAGUGAGUAACUGCUUAUUUCAAAGACUCAGGGAAUGUCAAGCAAGAAGAAAAAGUACAUUCCAGUCACUAUCCAGCAACCUUGAGUAUGGAUCUGUAAUGGAAUCUAAUGGAUCUGUAUGGUUUUAUGCACAUGUAAAAUAGCAUAAAAAUGGCAGACUAUUGGGACACAAAUAAACAUCCCAUUGCUUUUUAUUGUUGGCCUUUG
Molecule: long non-coding RNA, 548 nt
Filed under: Parus major (Great Tit)
Lineage: Eukaryota; Metazoa; Chordata; Aves; Passeriformes; Paridae
Description: lncRNA (ENSPMJG00000002998.1)
Source: RNAcentral